GAUGAACGCUGGCGGCGUGCUUAACACAUGCAAGUCGAACGAUGAAGCCCAGCUUGUUGUGUUGUUUCGUGGCGAACGGGUGAGUAACACGUGAGUAACCUGCCCUUGACUCUAGGAUAAGCCCGGGAAACUGGGUCUAAUACUUGAUAGGAACGUCUACCGCAUGGUUGGUGUUGGAAAGAAUUCCGGUCAUGGAUGGACUCGCGGCCUAUCAGCUUGUUGGUGAGGUAAUGGCUCACCAAGGCGCCGACGGGUAGCCGGCCUGAGAGGGUGCACGGCCACACUGGGACUGAGAGAGGGACCAGACUCGUACGGGAGGCAGCAGUGGGGAAUAUUGCACAAUGGGCGAGAGCCUGAUGCAGCGACGCCGCGUGAGGGAUGACGGCCUUCGGGUUGUAAACCUCUUUCAGUAGGGAAGAAGCGAAAGUGACGGUACCUGCAGAAGAAGCACCGGCUAACUACGUG
RNAcentral lists this ribosomal RNA (465 nucleotides) under uncultured bacterium. RNAcentral describes it as "partial 16S ribosomal RNA". It matches the Rfam family "Bacterial small subunit ribosomal RNA", at positions 28 to 507 of the family's 1533-position model. The record is from RNAcentral.